AUGAAAGGGAGACUUGACUCUUGU
This 24-nucleotide non-coding RNA is filed under the name Arabidopsis thaliana (thale cress). Lineage: Eukaryota; Viridiplantae; Streptophyta; Magnoliopsida; Brassicales; Brassicaceae. The record is from RNAcentral.